Hippocampus comes (tiger tail seahorse) is the source of this 652-nucleotide long non-coding RNA. RefSeq lists it as uncharacterized. The record is from RefSeq and is a predicted model, not a curated record. The transcript is spliced from 3 exons. NCBI's taxonomy places the organism in Eukaryota, Metazoa, Chordata, Actinopteri, Syngnathiformes, Syngnathidae.
CGACCCACAUGGGCCCAGGCCGUACCUCGUCGGUGACAGCCGAUCCUAAUUUCCACCUCACACACAGGCGCCACACGCAGCUAAAUAAAAAAAAAUAAACACAACAAACACACAUGCACACACACUGAGAGGUGUUUGGUGAAAUCAAACCAAUGUGGGACACGUGUCAUUGAGGCGUGUAUCCAACACGGUGUGAUUUAUGUCUUUGGUUGCGUGUCAGGUGUGCGGCACCUGCGCAUGACGUGCUACCAAUGAGUCCGUUCUCGACCCCGUUUGGCUGUCACUGAUGAACGGACGGACUGGGCCCGCCUGAAAUACUGACGGACUCGGCGGACUGACGAUGCCCACCUCUGCGAGAGGAGCGCCCUCCACCUGAAAAUUCAGAAUGAAAAGUGAGCGGACGGGGUCAACAAGCCGGAAGGUCCAUCAUGCGUCUUUCUGUCUGUCCAGUGCUACUGACCGAGCGAUGCUGACCGGUGUCCUCGUAGCACUCCUCUAUGUCCAUGGGCUGGACCUGAGUGUGGGAGAUGCAGGAGCAGUCCUGGUGAAGGAGGAGCGGGGGGGAGGCAAGCACAGAAGAUCGAUUUGAUGAAGACGCAAACACGUGCCCAUGCUCCGCAAAAGUCUUACCAAGAAAGACAUGGAGUCUUUG